This 935-nucleotide long non-coding RNA is filed under the name Nicotiana benthamiana. Its description in RNAcentral is "long non-coding RNA (NBEN_LNC034478)". Lineage: Eukaryota; Viridiplantae; Streptophyta; Magnoliopsida; Solanales; Solanaceae. The record is from RNAcentral.
CUUGUGUAACAACUUUAAAAAUGAGAGACUAAACUGAAAUGAAAGAAGGACUAUGGUGAAAAAGGAAAAUUUGAAGUUGCACUUCUUAGUGCCUAUAAAAAGGUACUCAAAUGCUUUGGUGAGGACGUUUUUUCAGCCAUCUAACUCCCCCCAAACUCUCUCUCUCGUUAAUUUUUCAGAUCCGAAGUAGAAAUUCAAUCAAAAACCAAAAAAACAAAAAACUCAAAAAUCAAAAAAAAAAUCUAUUGUUUCAUUGAGAAAUGGCAUAUCUGAUUCUAAUUUCCAGCUAGCUUCUUCACAUUUUAUAGUUUUAGUUUUGAUUGGGUUUGUUGAAGUAAUUUGGUGCUGUUUCAAGUGAAUUUGGUAUUAGUCGAGCUGGUUGGUCAUUUUCUUAGUUUGAUUGGUGUUCUCACAUCUACUGGGUUCAUGGAGUCUGUUUGGGCUUGUUCGACUGUGUGUUGGUGUGAUUAGUAGAUACUGCUCGAUUUUGAAACAUUUCUGAGUUCUAAACUUUUAUUGGGCUGCCUGUGAUCACCUCUUAUUGUUGCUGAUCCUUCUUUUGCUCAUCUUUUAAUUUCAAAUCCAGGUACAUGCUAUUUGUCUCUAGUGACGUGGAAACUUGGCUCAAAUGUAUGAAUGAUGUGGAAAGUCAAUGACAAGGAAUUGUUGUCUGUUUAUUUGAAUCUUAGCCAUUUAGUUUGAUUUUGUUGGUGUUGUUAAUGUAAUGAAGUUUGAAUCAGUGUUGGCUACUAUUGGAAACUGAACAUUAGAUUUGGAAGCAAGUGUAGGCCCUGUCAAUAUUAAAAUCCAAGCCUAAUGAACAUGUUAGUAGUACAGCACGUUAGUUUGUCUUAUUUCUGUUAAAGUGAACUCAAAAUCAGGUAUCGCACAAUACUGUGUCUUUGGGCUUGAAAUUUCAACGUAAAUGUCAAUUG